CGGAAAUGCUGCACUUGCGUGUUUAAAACGACCUGUGGGGCUUCACGUCAAUGGAGGCUGGAUCGGAUCCGUUUUACGUGCUUUUCCAGUGUAAACCCGUUGGGUGAAGGAUCCUCUCACCCUCACUUAAGUUUCUCCGAGGAUGUAAAUCUAAAUGAACCAGAGAGGCUUCCUAGCUAUCUAUCUGGCAGUCUGGAGAAAAGAUAUUAAUGGCUUUAGAGAGGAAGAAUCUGAGACAGUUGUUCCUGAUCAGCUAUGGAGGCAAAUUUCUUAACAAAGAAGGAGACAGAGGACUUGGCUAUCUACCCACCAGAGACCAGAGCUGCAAUUGAAAUAAGUCACAUAAAAUGUGCCCCCUUCCAAAGUAAGCAGACAUUAAUGAUUUGUGAAGUUGGGUGAAUUCAUUUAAAACACCAGGAAACAAUCUUAAAGCAUUUUUAAACUACAGUAUAAUUUUUUAAAAAAAAACACACACACACAAUUUAAUGGUUAGCAUACCUAGAUUUAAUAAAGACUCUCUGGGAAUGUUAUUGGCAUUUUUCCUUUGAGGCUUUUCUCUGUCUCAAACAUCAAGAAAUCGAAUGUUUGAAGAAAAGAAAGCCAGGCGGGACUAUUUGGAGACAGUCAAAAUCCACUUUGGCUCUUCUCCAGAUCAUGCUGCUUUUGAAGCCCCAUGGGGUUCCAGAUCCAGACCAAGAAAAUGCCCUUUUGUGUGCCCACAUAUGCAAAUAGCCCCUUCUCAAACCUUGGUCAAAUCAUCAACAGCGGCUGUAUGAAUUUCUAAGAAAAGAAUACAAUUGUGUGUGUGUGUGUGUGAGGUUAUGUAUUUGUGACAUAGUAGCAAAAGAAAAUGUAUUUCUCCAUAUAUGUCUUUAUAUAUGAUUCUACACAGAGAAAUGUGCACAUUCCUUAAUUGUUGAAAAAUAACUCCCUUUUAAAUUAUCCUUACAGACACUCAAGUUAAAAUCAGUUUAUUUAUGUUCUCAACUACUUUGAAAAUUGCAGUGGUCCUUUCUGUGCAUAGGGGAAAUGUGUGUGUGUGUAGGAAUUUUUGCAUACAAUCAUAAAAGAGUUAAGGGAAACCCCAUUGUGAUGUUCAGCUUUGAGUGACUGCAACUGUUUGGUAAAAUGCAGACCCGUUUUUUGGUCAAAAGAGCAUAAUUGGGGUGUCAAUUCUAUUAAUCUGAAUAACUCUUACAACUUCUGAGCAAAUAAGACACAAGAAAUAGUUAAAGCCGUUAUGACCACAGAGUUCAAUCCAGGUAAAAUGGAGAUUCACAUCUAAAACCCCACACAUCUUAAAACCACACCUUAAUAGCAUAUUGGGUCCUAUAUAAUUCAGUGACAUUUAUUAGCAAAACAACAACGUAUAUCCAUUAAGGCAUAUAUAAGCAUGGAGCUAACUUCUAAGAAAAUGUGCAAACAAUUAUUUUGCUAAUGAGGAAAUAUUUCCAUGUAAGCCAUGUGCACUGAUACAAAAAGUAAUUUUAACUUGGUAUGAAUUUAUAGGACAAUCUAAUUCAUUCUGUAUACUGUUAAGGGACAAUCUGCAACCAUUUACUUGAUUUUGCACAAAACUUUGAAAAAAACAGUCCAGCCAGAAUGUAAAUAUUAAUAAUUACAAGAGGUUGCAGUAACAAGUUUUUUUUUUUAUUCUUCACAUUCCAACUGAAAUUGUGGAAAUGACAAUAAUGCUUUCAGCAACAGCAAAUAAUAAACUAUUUAGCCCUGGGUGCUUUGAUCUAGGAUGAUUCUAGUAAAGAAUACCUUUUGGAGAAAAUUAGAUAGUUAGAAAUAAAAUUUGACUUGUGGAAUUCUCUUGGCUGAUUCCAAAUUCAAUUUUAAAGACAUUGCAAAGAAUUUCUUCUAUGGCUAAUUUUGGAAGGAAAAGGAGAGAAAAAAAAAAUAACAGAACGACUGAUAGCAAAGAGCCUCUGUAUGAAAGCUGGGUUUAAAAAGUACCUGCUGACGAUUUUAAAACUACGGAAAGAUCAAGGAUUUCAAGAAGAGGCACCCAGCAAGACCAAUGUGCACAUAGUGAAUACCAGGCUGGUUCGAGGCUGUAGCAAAAUGCCCAGGAUCUUCACGGAUGAUAAGGCUCCAUGGUGCCAGGCAUGGAGAGAAAUCAGAAAUGCCUUCUUCAUUGACCACAUUAGGAUGUCAUGAGAUAGGUGAAAGUUGUUGGUGCAGACUUAAAAUGCAGUGAAAGUGAAAGGUUUCAAAUUCCCGGAAGAAAAGUAAACAGCUCACACAACCUGGAGCCCACUUACUCCAAAGCAUACCUUAGAAGUACCACCUUUCGGGUGAUUCGGUCUGUUCUGACUCGCCCGCCCGAGAGCAGGCGAUCAACCAAGCGGUCAAACGAAGGGAAUUAGAGAUGAGGGUGAAAGAUUGCAGAGGAAAACAGCAGGUCUGGUGCAUAUCUGUUUUCCUCACCUUCUAAAUUCCAUAUAUUUAUUUAUUUGCAUACAAUAAUUCCCUUUCAAAUGCGCCAUGGGGGGGGGGAAAUGCAUUAACAUCCCGCUCCUUUACCAAAACGCAGCACAAAGCCCGCCUUUUCUGCAGCACAUUUUACAUGUUCAGUCGAGUUUGUUUCAAGAUUUGAGGACCUCGCAGCUUUAGUCAGACGCUAGGUUUUGUUUAAGUACCCUUUUCCAAAGACCAAGAUGAUCUACUCUCAUAAGAAACCACCGCAUUCUGGGUAGGAACGUUCCAGGAAAGUUUUACGCGAGAGAGGGAAUGUGAAUCGGACCAAGCGUUACAAUUUGAGUUAUUUCAGAGUAAACAGAUGCCUUACCCUUGUGGCAAGCUCACCGUAUUGUUUUGUUUGUUUGUUUGUUUGUUUUAUUUUUGGAAACCUGAGCCUUGGAAACGAACAUGUUUGCAAAAAAAUAAUAAUCCGGCCGCUCCUUAAAACGCGACGCGGCGAUUUCUUUUUGCAGCAAAAAAAAAAAAAAAAAAAGUCUCUGAAGUAGGAGACGUUCCUGGGAUCCCGGCGGGGGAUUUUUCACUAGGAUCGCCAAGAGAGACAAAAUCCCAUUUAAAAAAAAACAAAAAAAACAAAAACCCAGCAGCCACAAUAACAGAACUGUUGCCGGCUCCUAAUUAGACUUCUAGAAUGAAAAAAUAAUUUGGGAGGUGGGGGUGGGGGGUGGACAGGAAAUGGAUUGAUAUUGUCUCCGUAACCCAGUCCUUGCCCG
Molecule: long non-coding RNA, 3200 nt
Organism: Crotalus tigris (Tiger rattlesnake)
Lineage: Eukaryota; Metazoa; Chordata; Lepidosauria; Squamata; Viperidae
Exons: 3
Source: RefSeq, a predicted model, not a curated record